This 306-nucleotide long non-coding RNA is filed under the name Manihot esculenta (cassava). RNAcentral's name for it is "long non-coding RNA (MESC_LNC007332)". The record is from RNAcentral. Lineage: Eukaryota; Viridiplantae; Streptophyta; Magnoliopsida; Malpighiales; Euphorbiaceae.
GUGGUGUCCAGUUUUCAGGCAAUAAACACAUGCCUUUGGUCAGGAAAUUCCAAACAUGGUAAAUAGUUUAAAUGGACAGCUGUAAACAAAUAGGAGAAAUUUGCGGGAGGCAAUUUGAACAUUUAGGUCAGAAAGUCAGAUGUGUGUUGUAUGUGAUCCAAUUGCCAGUCAAGUGGUCAAUUCACAAAGUCAAUUGCAAAUGCAAACAUUAAAGGCAUUCUUAUAUUCUGAAAACAUCCAAGAACCAUUUAAAUCCAAAAAACAAUUGGCAUUCUGAUGUUAGAAUAUUACCUUGAAAUAAUUUGA